CAAAUUUAAUAUGUUGAAAAUGAUUACAGGGAUGGUGUAAGGGAGACGGCGGCGGGGUGACGGAGCUGCUGCUGCAGCGUUUCUGCAGGCUGCGUGAGGAGACUGAGAGCUGGAGCGGAGUGAGACAUCACUGGAGUUGAUCGCAUCUGUACUUCCCUCGGCAUAAUCCAACAGCCUAACCACGAAUCCUUCUUCAUGACGACCUUACAUGGCAGUUCUCUUCUCCGGGGUGUUCUGAGAAGACAGGAGGAGCGGCAGGGGGAGAGGAGCAGAGGGAUGAAGCGAGGGGAAGCACGAUGGCAGACCAAGACAUGAAGAAGUAGAAUAAUUUAGGCUUAGGGUGAGCGGUCAUCUGCCUUUAGGACCCGUCAUACCGGUGCCUCCAACAACACAAACUCCUUCCAGACCUGGAUAAAAGAAGAGAAUGGAUGAGAGAGAUGCACACAUCCUCUAUGCCCACUCUUUGGGAAUAACUGAAGAUCAGAAGGGACUUUCAAGUUUAGAUUUAAAGAUCUUUAAGUAGUCAGACUAUAUGAAGUCAGCAGGAAAGUUUUUGGAAAGUAAGGGAGCAAGGUUGGUAAAGGCCCUGUAGCCAGCUGAUGUCUUUGUACCGUGACAGCAUUCUGAGUGGACACUGAUUUCUGGCACUUUUCUGAAACCGAAACCACUGUAAGUUGACAACAUCAUGUGUAACUUUAAAUUCAGAAUAAAC
This 712-nucleotide long non-coding RNA is filed under the name Betta splendens (Siamese fighting fish). RNAcentral's name for it is "lncRNA (ENSBSLG00000000095.1)". The record is from RNAcentral. Lineage: Eukaryota; Metazoa; Chordata; Actinopteri; Anabantiformes; Osphronemidae.